CUUAUAGGGCGCAGAGGCCACGCCCCCGAGGCCCCGCCCCCGACCCUGCCGCCCGACCGCGGAGAGGCAGCAGCCGCAGCCCCCAGCCCAGCCCCCGGGGGGCGGGACGCACGUCCCUUCCCCCCUCGCUCACACACAUCGGGGUGUCAGACCUGGUGCAGUCAGGACCCCGGGGCCUGGGCACAGAGUGCCAGGCGCGGCACGCGUCCCUGGGCUGCAGGCGCGCUCGGAUUCCCCUAAGGGGCCGCGCCGGAGGACAGGCCUGCAGGCGGGGAAAACUGCUUCCCCUCCUCCCUCAGGCGCCUGGGACUAUGGUAGCAGGCCCCGCGGAGGAGGUGAUGCACGGGCGCCAGCUCUGGCGAGAUAGCAGCGCGCUUGGUUCACAGCGCUCCCGGGAUAGGAACCCGGGUGGCGGUUGAUGCGGCCCUGGCCUGAAGGUCCCGGAAGGCGAGCCUAGGCCGCCAAGCCCUUGUCCCGUGGAAGGGGGAGUCCCUGAGGGCUGUUGGAAGAGUCUGUGCUGGAAAGGUCACAGACAGGGUGUCCCCCAGGCCAGGGUUGUGUCCAAGAGGCCCAAGCCGCUUAUGGAACCUCCAGGUGCUGUGUAUUUCAGGCACAGCCUGGUGGCGCCAGUACCGCAGGGGGCCGGCCCCACACUCCUGCUAAGGAGGCAGAGGGCUAAGGAGGCAGAGAGGCGAGUCAUCAAGCAUUCUCCCCAGGUGACAGCAAGGUGACGUGCAGCUGGAGAGAUGAGAGCUCUGCGUCUGCGGUAACCCUGGCACGAGUGACUACUGACCACUUGCAAGGUGGCCAGUGCUACCGCUGGGGACUGAAGUUUUCAUUUUGCUCACUGUACAGUGGUUUGAAUUUCAGUAGCAGUGGGCGGCCGGAGCAGGGCGGUCGUACUCAUCGGGACUCUGGUAGUUUUGUAGUUUCCUUGGUGACUUAUUGUAAAGUUUGUUUUGGCUUCACGCGUAUGUAAGAGCCACAGGCACAACUGUGGGGUUUGUGGGUGUCGAAGGGACGUUACAACAGAGGUACCAACUUUGGGGGUCUGCCAGAUUCUUUCUGUCGAAGAGGAGGCAGAACAGGUCUUCAGUGUGAAGAAUCGCUUGUCUAGGUGCCCUGGGCACCCUGCCCUCCCAUCAGCUCCCUGCUGCCCACAGUGAUAGGGACAUUUCCUGCCAAAGGUGUGGGCUGUCCCUUCCCUGGGCCCUCUGGGGAAGGGGGGGGCAGAGAGCCCCCCCUCAGGGAGUGGCAAAACCACGCACCUGCGUCCUCGGCCCGCCAUCCCCCAAAGUGGGUCGCGCCUGGCCGGCUUGUUCUGUUCUCUCUGCUUCAGUCCUGCAUUUAGUGGGUGCCAGCCGUGUGCCAGGCCUAUUCCAGGCGCUCGCUGUGAGGAGCUGGACAGCCAGGACCCCUUCGCUUGAGGACCUUCGGCCCUGGUGAGGGUGACAGAUGUCACCCCACGAUGAUCAUGUCAGUGCUGCAAAGGGGGGGGAGUUCUGAGGAUGUGUGACAGGUGGGGGUGGCACUCCUCCCCGUGGGUCCUGGAAGGAAUCAGCCAUGGAGCCAACCCUGAGGGGUGCUGGGGGGAGCUUUCCAGGCAGAGGGGUAGCUUGGAGGAGUGGAAAGGAAGCUGGUGGGGUGGGCGCAGAGGAUGUGGGAAGGGCUGGACUUGAGGUCUGAGGUUGGGGCCAGCGGUGAGGUCAGGGGCCAGGUGGGCUGGCUCUUGGGCCUGAAGGUCAGAGUGGAGCUGCACUGGAUUCUGGCCCCAGUGGGAGUGACUGGGGGUAUUCCACAGGGGAGCCUCAGGCCUUGCCCCUGUGAGGUAGCUCGCGUGGUUAUGGGGGCUGGGAAUGACCUGCCGUCUGCACACUGGCGGCCCAGGAAGGCCAGUUGGGUGAUGUCGUCCAGUCUGAGUCUGGAGGCCUGAGAGCCAGGGGAGCGGAUGGUGUAAACCCCAGUCUAAGGGCAGGAGGAGGUGACAGGAGCUGUCCCAGCUCAAGGGGUGGGGCCAGAAAAGGGCACGUUCUCCCUCCCCUGCCUUGUGUUCUGUUCAGGCCUCGGGGACCAGAUGGUGCCCUCCCACCUGCUCUCCUGCGUCCGCGAUUCAAUGCUGAUCUCACCUGGAAACACCCCCCCAGACUCCCCCAGAAGUAAUGUCCCGCCUGGGCGCCUGGGCCCGGUCAUGUUGACACAACAGUACGUAUCCCAGGGAGCGGUGACAUGAUGUGUGUGCCAGUGUGAUCGGGGGCAGGGGGCGCCCCGCGGGGAUGUCCUGGGGAAGGCUCCCGGUGUUGGCUGGACUGCAACACUUUCCAUCCCAGCUCCAGGACGCAUGGACAAGCUCCCAGAGGGGCUGCGUUAGAGAAUGAGGGAGGCGAGGCAGAGCUUGCUAUGCCUGGGAUGGGACACCCCGUCCCUGUGCUUCCCUUGCCCUGCAGCCCUGGCUGCCCUAGGAAGGGGAGCUGAUGGGGAUACAGCCGGCAGCUCGGCAGGACCAGCAGGCUUUGCUGCCCAGCUGGGUUUGGCCUGAGUCUUCCCCUCCCAGUGACUUCGGGCUGGUUCCACCGUGUCCCUGCCUGCAACGGAACAUGACCACAGGCCCAGGCACGUGAGCAAGGCCUGGCCCAUGGGAGGCAGGAGGCCAGGGCCUCCUUGCAGCUUGUCUGGUGGAGAAGCUUCUCUGCCCAUAGCUGGUGACUCACUGCUCUCCUGGGGCACAUGGUCUGUCGGGGGGGAGCCGGUGAAUCACUGAACCCCGCCUCUUUGCCUUCGUUUCCUGUGGAAAUAAACAAAGACCACCUAAAUGAGACAAACCGGCUGUAUCUGCAGAGCCUGCUACGUACAAGGGAAUCAGCCGCCCUCGCUGCAUUUGGCAGGGACUCGAAGGCCGCCCCCAAGGGAGACAGGUUUAUGUUGGGAAAAAAACAAAAAAAAGGAGGAGUUUAACAUCUGAAAAAUGUACUACACCAUAUCAAUAGAAUAAAGGACAGAAAUUACGUGAUCAUCUCAACGGAUGUAGGAAGAGCAUCUAACAAAACCCAACAUUCGGGCUUCCCUGGUGGCGCAGUGGUUGAGAGUCCGCCUGCCAAUGCAGGGGACACGGGUUCGUGCCCCGGUCCGGGAGGAUCCCACAUGCUGCAGAGCGGCUGGGCCUGUGAGCCAUGGCCGCUGGGCCUGCGCGUCCGGAGCCUGUGCUCCGCAACGGGAGAGGCCACAGCAGUGAGAGGCCCGUACCACAAAAACAAACAAACAAACAAACAAACAAAAACAAACCCAAUAUUCUUUCAUGGUGAAAACACUUAGCACACUCAAAAUAGAAGGGAAUGUCCUCCAUCCAAUAAGGGGCGUCUACAAAUACCCACAGCUGACCUCACACCUAGUGAUAAAAGUCUGAGAGCGUCCCGCCUAAGGUCAGGAACGAGACAAGGACCCCACAUCCUGCCACUAUCUUUGUGUUGAUUUCUGCUGUACAGCAAAGUGACUCAGUUAUACAUAUAUAUUCUUUUUCAUAUUCUUUCCCACUAUGGUUUAUCACAGGAUAUUGAAUAUAGUUCCCUGUGCUAUACAGUAGGACCUUGUUUUUUGUCCAUUCUAUAUAUAAUAGUUUGCAUGUGUAAUCCCAAACUCCUGACUUCCCUGGUGGUCCAGUGGGUAAGACUCCGUGCUCCCAAUACAGGGGGCCCGGGUUCGAUUCCUGGUGGGGAAACUAGAUCCCGCAUGCAUGCCGCAACUAAGAAGUCUGCAUGCUGCAACUGAAGAUCCCACAUGCCACAACUAAGACUUGGUGCAGCCAAAAUAAAUAAAUAAAUAAAUAAAUAAAUAAAAUCCCAAACUCCCAAUCCAUCCCUCCCCCACUCUACCUCCCCCUUGGCAACCAUAAGUCUAGUCUGUUCUCUGUGUCCUUGAGUCUGUUUCUGUUUCAUAGAUAAGUUCAUUUGUGUCAUAUUUUAGAUUCCACAUAUAAGUGCUAUCAUAUGCUAUUUGUCUUUCUCUUUCUGACUUACUUCACUCAGUAUGAUCAUCUCUCGGUCCAUCCAUGUUGCUGCAUACUCCUGCCACUUCUAUUCAACAUUGUCCCGGAGGUUCUGGCCAGAGCAUUGAGGCAAGAAGAAGGAGUAUAAAGGCACCCAUAUUAGAAAUGAAGUAUUGAACUACCUCUAUUUGCAGAUGACAUGAUGUUGUGUAUGGAAGAUCCUAAGAGAGCCACACACACAAAAUUAAAGCUAAUAAGUGUGUUCAACAAUUGGCAGAAUACAAGAUCAAUAUACAAAAAUCAAUUUUAUUUCUAUACCUAGCAAUGAGCAAUCCAAACGUGGAAUUAUGAUGACAAUCCCACGUGUAACAGCAGCAAAUGAACAAAAUACCUAGGAAUACAUGGAGCGAAAGAAGCGUAAGACUUGUACACUGAAAACUACAAAGCGUUGUCAGAAGGAAUUAAAGAACAUCUAACUAAGUGAAAAGAUAACUGGUAUUCAUGGAUCAGAAGACCUAAUAUGUUUAUGGUGCCAAUACUCCCCCAAACUGAUCUAAAGCUUCGACGAAACCCCUAUCAAAAUCCCAGCUGGCUUUUUACAAUCUGAUCCUAAAAUUCAUAUGGGAAUGCAAGGGCCCCAGAAUAGCCAGAAGAAACUGGAAAAAUAAGAGGAAAGUUGUUGGAUUCACACUUCCCCAUUCAAACUUACUGCAAAACUACAGAGAUCAAGGCAGUGUGGCACUGGCAUUAAGGACAGACGAACAGAUCAGUGGACUAGAAUUGAGAGUCCAGAAAUAAACCCUCACAUUCAUGGUGGCUUGCCACAAGGACACCGAGACAAUUCGAUGAGGAAAAGAACAGUCUUUUCAACAACUGGUGCUGGGGCAGCUGGAUAUCCACAGACGAAAGAAUGACGUUGGGGCCCUACCUCACCCUGUACACAAACGUUAACUCAAAAUGGAUCAUGGACCUCAAUGUAAGAGCUGAAACUAUAAAACUCUUAGAGAAAGACAUAAACCUUCGUGACCUUGUGUUAGACAAUGGUUUCUUAUAUACAACUCCCAGAGCACAAGCGAAAUAAGAAAAAAAUAAGUAGGGAACUCCCUGGUGGUCCAGUGGUUAGGACUCGGUGCUUUCACUGCAGUGGCCCAAGUUCAAUCCCUGGUCAGGGAACUAAGAGAUCCCACAAGCCACACAGCUCAGCCAAAAAAAAAAAAAAGAAAGAAAGAAAGAAAAAGGAAAAAAUAGGUAAA
Molecule: long non-coding RNA, 5232 nt
Organism: Orcinus orca (killer whale)
Lineage: Eukaryota; Metazoa; Chordata; Mammalia; Artiodactyla; Delphinidae
Exons: 2
Source: RefSeq, a predicted model, not a curated record